This 619-nucleotide ribosomal RNA is filed under the name uncultured Bacteroidota bacterium. RNAcentral's name for it is "bacterial SSU rRNA". It matches the Rfam family "Bacterial small subunit ribosomal RNA", at positions 113 to 730 of the family's 1533-position model. The record is from RNAcentral. Lineage: Bacteria; Pseudomonadati; Bacteroidota.
ACACGUACGCAACCUUCCUUUAAGCGGGGAAUAGCCCAGGGAAACUUGGAUUAAUACCCCAUAAGACAGUGGUGUGGCAUCACACAGCUGUUAAAGCUCCGGCACUUAAAGAUGGGCGUGCGGCUGAUUAGGUAGUUGGCGGGGUAACGGCCCACCAAGCCGACGAUCAGUAACUGGUGUGAGAGCACGACCAGUCACACGGGCACUGAGACACGGGCCCGACUCCUACGGGAGGCAGCAGUAAGGAAUAUUGGUCAAUGGACGCAAGUCUGAACCAGCCAUGCCGCGUGGAGGAUGAAGGCCCUCUGGGUUGUAAACUUCUUUUAUUUGGGAAGAAACCUAUAUUUUCUAAUGUAGUUGACGGUACCAAGUGAAUAAGCACCGGCUAACUCCGUGCCAGCAGCCGCGGUAAUACGGAGGGUGCAAGCGUUAUCCGGAUUCACUGGGUUUAAAGGGUGCGUAGGUGGGCAAGUAAGUCAGUGGUGAAAUCUUUGGGCUUAACCCGAAAACUGCCGUUGAUACUAUUUGUCUUGAAUGUAGUGGAGGUGAGCGGAAUAUGUCAUGUAGCGGUGAAAUGCUUAGAUAUGACAUANAACACCGAUUGUGAAGACAGCUCGCU